UAUCAAUAUAUUCAAUCCAACAACGCUUUAAAAUAAAAAGCAAGGAUCACAAGAUGUCUCUUUGAAUUGGAAAAUAAAUUACUCCGACAAUUCUCCUUCCAUGAAAUAUGAAUCUGUCAGCAUAAAUGAACAUAUUUUCCUAUUCCCUUUCAAUGUGGAAAAAUUAAAAAUAUUGAAAAGGAAAAGAACUAAACAACAGGCUGCAAAAUGAUCAUAAUUAAUGAGCCGGCAUUAAAUAUACAAUUUGGACAAAGACCAAAUCACAAGGAUCAGAAUUUCUCAUUUAAUUUCUCUAGUUUGAGUGAUCAAAACUUCUGGGCGAGUAAAAAAAAAUUUUCUACAGCCUAUGAAAGUGUCAACCUUUGAAUUGCAACACCAUUUCGAGCAGCUGAAAUUCGUCCCCAUCUUCCAAGUCGAGGCUCCUGCCCAACUCCAGCAACAAGGAACUUUCCAGAUUUUGAAAAAGCCAGUGAAUUCACAAACCCAACCAAUGGAAGAUCAUAUAGGGGUUUAAUGCCUUUGGGAGCACUUUCAACAGUCCAUAAGCGAACAGAACCACUACCAGCGCCUGAUGCUGCAAGAUCACUGCCUCUACAUACAGCGACUGAACUUACCCAGGAACAUGCUAGAUAACCAUUAAACAUACUUCCAUUUUCUUUUUGUUCAAAAUUUUUGAAGUCAGUCAACAUAGCAUGAGCAUUCUUAACAAUGUACACAGGCUUCUUUUUUUGGACGCUCCAGAGCUCAAUAUUUCCAUCAUCGGAACCAGAUAAAAAUUCAUCAUUAUCAAUAAAACAACAACAUUCCAGAGAGGAUGCAGAAGCACGAAAUAUCAACCUUGACUCCUCUGGGACCUUGAAUAAUUGCAUAGUCCGAUCACGUCCUGUCGCUAACACCCGUUCUUUCCGCAAGCAAUCAACUGUUAAUACUUCACUUUGGUGACCAAACAAUGUGCUUAUAUAAGCUCUGUCUUCCACAUUCCAUAUUUUGAUUGAUCGAUCAAAAGAACCAGAAAAAAGUUCUGAAGUCCCUUGCCUAAAAGUUAGGCAUGACACAGGCCCUCUGUGACCUGGAAAAGCCUACAAAUAGAUAAUAAAUGAAGAUACCGAGUGAGAACAUGACUUCCAACAUUCCUUAACUAUGCUCUUGACAGCAUAAUGUCAGUAUCAUAUCAGACAACUUAACAUCACAGGACAAGAUCAUCCAGGAUGCUGCAGUCUGUAAUGCAUGCAGGAGGUAGCAAUAAAUUAAAUUGUCUAGGUACAAAGGUGCUACAGGGUAUAUCUACGUGCCAGAACACAGUAAACUUUUCCAGAUUUCACCCUAUGCGUGGUGCACUUAAGUUGAUGCAUUCAGGACCUUGUCAGUGCAAUAGGGCUUUUACUCUCACACAGUUAAUUGCCCCAUUUGUCUGACAGGACAUCCAGAUCCCUCCAGCCAUGUGCAUAUAAGUGUAGUUUUUAAAGGCAAACCAAAAGGUUGAAAAAACAGUGCACAUUCUCAAAAAAGUAAGAAAUAAACAAAUAUUUCACCUGAAUAUGUUCUCUCGUUCGUGUGUCCCAUACAUGAACAUGCCUAUCUAAUCCUCCACUUGCUAAAUACUUACCAUCAGUGCUAACAGCCAAUGAUAAAACCUGUUUGCUAUGCUUUGUAGCUUUACCAUCAGGACCCUUGGCUCCAUGAAGUCUGAGUGUUUCUUCAUUAGGCCAAUGGUACUUCUCACCUUUCCCAGUAUCUACAUCCCAAUAUAAAAUUGUGCCAUCUUUGGAAGCAGAAAAGCCCUUUGAGUCAUCAUCAGAUAGACAUACAGCAGUAACAGAAUGCCGAUGCUUCAAUAGGACCUCAAAUCCACUAUCAGGCUUCUCAACCCUGGAAGCUAUAACUCUUCUCAAUCGUCCACUCUCCUCGAGCUGCUCCUGGAUCAACUUCUUAACCACAAGGGAAUCCCUCUCCCCUUCCUUCUCAAACUCUCUCUCUUCCUCUUUGUCUCUGUGUUUUCCUCGCUUUUGCUGUUCUGUUUUGAUUGAAUAAACCAAUUGCUUCUGCUGAAAUUUGAUUGACUUGGGUGCUCCAGUGAGUUGACUGGAAGGGAAUCACUGAAAAAGAGGUUAACUGGGUUUUGUCCCAAAAAGGAUUCUGUGACGAAGUUUUUCCACUUUUCUAUGUUGAUCGCUUCAUGAAUUGAAGUUUUGAAAUGUUUAUCGUACAAUUUGCGAAAAAGGAUUACUCUAUGAAGCUGGAUGAAGUGAUUAAGCUAGAUAAGAUUUUAUAAUUUUUGAGGCUUUAGGAUUAUUAAGUGUUCAAUUUCAAAUUUUGGUGUUGGGAUGGGCUGCGAGUGUUCGAAGCUCUCCGCCUGUUGUUGGACUUCUGAGUUUGAUGGAUCAAUUCCCGAGGGCCAAAAUGAGGAAAAUGAGGAGAGGAAGGAAGUUGAUGAGUUGCCUGCAUUCCGUGAAUACACCAUUGAGACGCUCAAGAUGGCAACAUCUGGAUUUGCUGUGGAGAAUAUAGUUUCUGAACAUGGGGAAAAGGCUCCCAACGUGGUUUAUAGGGGUAAGUUUGAGAAUCAGAGGAGGAUAGCCGUAAAACGAUUUAAUAGAUCUGCUUGGCCUGAUGCCAGACAGUUUUUGGUAAGUGAAGCAUAUCAUUUUCUAAAUUCCCCAAUUCAAUGGCUGUAGCAGCUAUUUUUUCUUUAAUGCACUUCAUACAUAUGAUCACUAGUUAUUCACAUAUGGAAUUUGAUAGGUGCUUGACUUUGACAUUCUAUAACUUUAGGAAGAAGCAAGAGCUGUUGGUCAGCUUCGGAACCAUAGGCUGGCAAAUUUACUUGGUUGUUGCUGUGAAGGGGAUGAGAGGCUACUUGUUACAGAAUUUAUGCCCAAUGAUACAUUAGCAAAACACUUAUUUCACUGUAAGUUUGUUUUUUGGUUUCUUUGCUGGAGCUUUAACAUUUGGUCUGUGUUAUUUGAGGGUUCGUAACUCACAUACUUCAUAAUUGAACAAUAAUCCAGGUUCUGUCGAUUGCAGAUGGAUGGUUAUUUUACUUUCUAAUUGAUAUGUAAUCACUUGUCCUCCUUAAAAUCUAAAUUUGUCUCUCAUUGAGUAUGAAUGUUUUGUGAUUCACUUUAUGGUAGAUUAUGGGGGUGAAUACAACAUACUUCUUAGAUAUUUAAGUUUUGCAAUGGGGGAAUAUUUUUUUGACUAUAGAUUUUUGUGGUACAUAUAUCUUGUGCUUCAUUUCUAUUGCUUUCUCUGCAUCUCAAUCUUUGUCUCUUGGCUUGUUUAGGGGAAACGCAACCAAUGAAAUGGGCAAUACGACUUAGGGUGGCUUUACAUAUAGCACAAGCUCUAGAAUAUUGUACUAGUAAAGGGCGUGCUCUGUAUCAUGAUCUGAAUGCUUAUAGGAUUGUUUUUGAUGAUGAGGGUAACCCUCGACUUUCAUGCUUUGGUCUGAUGAAGAACAGCAGAGAUGGAAAAAGUUAUAGUACAAACCUGGCAUUUACUCCUCCUGAGUAUCUGAGAACAGGGAGAGUAACACCAGAAAGUGUAAUGUAUAGCUUCGGUACCCUUUUGCUUGACCUCCUUAGUGGAAAACAUAUUCCUCCCAGCCACGUAAGUUUUCUCCUUGAUAGGAUCAAUUUGACAGAACAAUUUUAAAGUAUCUAUUAACUGGACUUCUUGUGCCUUUCAAAAGCGCAAAGUUUGCUCCAUAACCCUCAUACUCCAACAAGUAGGAGCGUUUAAUUUGAAUAUAAUGCGAUUUUCAAUUGUAAAUUCUUAACAUAAACAUAAAACUUUUAAGCCAGCUCUCUUCUCUAUCUCUCUAACCUAUUUUUCCUACUUGGCAUAUUGGAUGAUGGUAUGGUGUGCUAGUGGAGACUGGAAGUUUGGAUGGCUAGAGUAAUGUUCGUAUUAUUGAACAUGGAAGUACAAGGAGAGGCUUACUUACUAUAUCUUUCCGUCUUUGCUAAAGAAAAUUCCUCUACCCAUCCCCUCCCAUAAAGAAAAAGUUUGUUGUUGGGGUGGGGGGUGUUUGGCGGUGGUGGAGAGAGAAAAACCAAAUAAUAAUAAACAAUGGAAUGAUAAAAGGCUUUUUGAAAUAAGUAUCAUGUUAAAACAAACAAAUUCUGGUGGUUAGUCCUCAGUGUAGUUCUGGUAUGAAUAGGGUUGGGCUAUUUGGCAUUACUUACAUUAAAAUGGUCCUUGUAAUAUUGUGGUCCCAUUUGAUAAUGUGAUGAAUGAAAAGACUUCUGAAACUUAGGAGGAGAAUGACACAGCUUAGACUCGGUGGAAAUCAAGGAAACAAUAGUAAUUCCUUCCUUUCCAGGCAUUUUGAAAAGGGCAAUGGCUGAAAUUUGACUCCACAUAUCUUUGUUUCCUCAGCAUUUGUAAGUUGGGAAUUCAUUGUCGGAGAGAAUCUUUAAGUCUAGCAUGCUGCCUAAUCAUGAAGACUUGGGAAAUAUGCUAGUAAGGUUUAGAUGCUUCUGAGUAUACUUGAGGAAAUUCCUAAAAAGGUGUAAUGCCUCAAAGUAUUUGGACAUACACUUCCUUACCUUGCUCUGUCUUGAGGAGUGGAGGUGGGAGGGAGGAGGAGAAUUCACAAUUAUGAGAUAUUUACAUAUUACUGUUUACAUCUUUCUAUUGAUCAUAGCGAAAUUUUCUUAUUGGUGGAAGGGGUUCCAAUAUCAUGGAACCCUAUUUUUAAGAUUGUGUGUUUCAGAUAUAUUGAGUUGUUGAAGACAGCUCAUGUUCAAACAAAAUGACCCUAAAAAUCUAACCAGGAAAAGGAAAGAAAAAAAAAAUGAGAAAGAAACAAACCUGGUCUCGUUAGCAGAGCCAUUGCGAUGACUUUUUGAGGCUGAUUAUUAAUUGAUGAUGGUUAUAAGUUUGUUGAGGGCAUAACUACUUGUUGACAUCUUGCUGCUUUUGUAAUAUCAUCUUUUGAUUGGAUAUUGAAUUUUUUUGUAACUGAUGAGCCAUUAGAUUUGUUGGGUUCCCUAUCUCAUUAUGGUUGCCUUAAGCAUAAUCAUCUCCAGUUUUGUGCUGGAUGAUACAUUCUUAUCUUAUUGCACAAGAAGACUAUUAUAAUGACUGGUCUAAUGGGUGUUUCUAAUUCAUAGAAAAGUGACUAUGCAAACCUUGGUAUUGUAAAAUUGUCUUUUUUUCCUUUAUUUUCAUGGGUGAGGUGGAUUAUAGCUGGCUUGUUGGGGUUGAAGCCAACUGUCAAUGAUGAGAAAGAAAAAAAAAUGGGUGAAGAAAAGAAUGUAAAGCCAAGUAAGGGCCAGCUAAUUCCUUGUGUAGAAUAUCCAAAUGUGAUAUCUGACAUCAUCUGCCAAAAGAGAGCAGCCUAUAUGCUACAUACCUUUUGAUCAGAAAUAGACAUCCUGCUGUUUUUUUUGUUUCAUUUGAUGACAAGUUUAAAUUAUUUGUUUUGGAAGUUGUUCUGAUAGGAGCCUGACCAAGUGUAUUUUUAAGUUGGCAAUAUGAUCUCAUAAUUUUUGUUGUGUGGUAUUUAUCUGAAUUUUUAGGAUACACAUACAACUAAUGUCUAAUAUUAAGUUGCACUAUUUACUUUAGGCUUUGGACUUAAUAAGGGACAGGAAUAUUCAGAUGCUUACUGAUUCUUGCUUGGAAGGCCAAUUUACAAAUGAUGAUGGGACUGAAUUGGUCCGAUUAGCCUCUCGAUGUUUGCAGUAUGAGCCUCGUGAACGGCCAAAUCCAAAGUCAUUAGUUGCUGCAUUGAUUCCACUUCAGAAGGAUACUGAGGUUCCUUCUCAUGUAUUGAUGGGUAUACCAGAUGGUGCUGCACCUUUACCUUUGUCACCCCUCGGUGAGGCUUGCUUAAGAAUGGAUUUGACCGCCAUACAUGAGGUCAUAGAAAAGAUUGGAUAUAAAGAUGAUGAGGGUGCGGCUACUGAGCUCUCAUUCCAAAUGUGGACCAAUCAGAUGCAGGAAACAUUAAAUUCAAAGAAAAAGGGUGAUGUUGCCUUCCGGCAUAAAGAUUUUAGAGCUGCCAUUGAAUGCUAUUCCCAGUUCAUUGAGGUUGGAACCAUGGUUUCUCCAACUGUCUAUGCACGCCGAAGUCUAUCUUAUCUUAUGAACGAAAUGCCACAGGAAGCCCUUAAUGAUGCAGUGCAAGCCCAAGUAAUAUCCCCUAUUUGGAAUAUUGCAUCCUAUUUACAGGCAACAGCUCUUUUUGCAUUGGGAAGGGAGAGUGAGGCACAAGCAGCUCUUAAAGAGGGAUCAACACUUGAAAAUAACAAGACAACAAAUGCUUGAUGAUAGAAAAUGAUGAUGCUCAAUAAAGCUGUUCUUUAAUUGCUCUUCCUUGAGAUGACCACCAAGGGCAAACACAAGCUUAAUUUUGAGCUGAUCAAGUGUUGUUAAGCCUCACAGUGAACCUUCGUGUGGGCCAUAAAUGGUCCCCAUCUUCUGCAUGUGAUUGGUUGUCAUCUUGAAGAAUUCUUUCCAAAAAUUAUUGGAUGGGUAGGUUUUUGUCAGUGCUGGGUAUUUGCCAUAUUGGGACACUCAUUCACAUAUGAACAAUCUACCCUGGUUUCUGUUUGCUGACCUUUUCCAAUACACCAAUCUAGGGAAAUAAUAAAGACAAUCGUGGGAUAGAUUACAUGUUUGUAGAGGGAUUCAGGCAUUCAGCUCUUGUUUAAAGUUGCAUUUAGAGCGUGAAUGGAAGUCUCUGCGAUCCUUGUAAUUUAUGUACAGUGCUAUUGGUUGUGGUUGCUGAAGGUGAGGUGAAAUGGGCUUUUUAUUUCUUGGUAUGCUGUUGCGAAGUUUGUGAAUUAAUAUUAUUGCUUUCCAUUCGAGUCUUACGCUAUUUGAUUUUUUUUUUGUUUAAUUUUUUUUUAUGGUGUAAGUUUAGGCAAGGAGAGCAGUGGCUGCUGCAACCUGCAAGUUCUUUUGUCUAUAGCUGAAAUCUUUCUGUUUGCUGCCUGUGGAUGAGCUGGAAAAAUGUUUUGAACUACUAACCCCUGAGCUGUAGCUCAAUGAAUCCAUAUUAAUGUCUACUGCUUUCCUUGUCCUACUCUACAGUCCCCAGCUUUUCAAAGCUUUAGCUGCAAAUUAAACUUGCAACUUCACAUUGUGGAAUAAUGCUCCCUGUUAAAAUGAUGACGGAGAUAAAAGUGAGCCAACGCAAUAAGAAACUCUGUUUCUUUGAACCUUCAAGAGCUAUUUUUCUGAGAAAUUAUGAGAUAGUGAUUUGUU
This 7218-nucleotide unclassified non-coding RNA is filed under the name Hevea brasiliensis (rubber tree). Lineage: Eukaryota; Viridiplantae; Streptophyta; Magnoliopsida; Malpighiales; Euphorbiaceae. The record is from RNAcentral.